GGCUGGUCUGAGUGCAGUGGUGUUUACAACUAAUUGAUCACAACCCGUUACAGAUCUCUUUGUUCCUCUCCACUCCCAUUGCUUCACUUGACUGGCCUUUA
Molecule: Y RNA, 101 nt
Filed under: Cebus imitator (Panamanian white-faced capuchin)
Lineage: Eukaryota; Metazoa; Chordata; Mammalia; Primates; Cebidae
Description: Y RNA (ENSCCAG00000008432.1)
Rfam family: Y RNA
About the family: Y RNAs are components of the Ro ribonucleoprotein particle (Ro RNP), in association with Ro60 and La proteins. The Y RNAs and Ro60 and La proteins are well conserved, but the function of the Ro RNP is not known. In humans the RNA component can be one of four small RNAs -- hY1, hY3, hY4 and hY5.
Source: Rfam by way of RNAcentral